CACCAUAUAGCUCAGUGGGUUGAGCAGGUGCCCCAUAUGCAGAGGCUACAGUCCUCGCUGCAUCCGGCCCCGGUUCGAAUCCUGAAUCUGGUGG
Non-coding RNA from Caranx melampygus (bluefin trevally), 94 nucleotides. The record is from the annotation of a GenBank genome assembly. Lineage: Eukaryota; Metazoa; Chordata; Actinopteri; Carangiformes; Carangidae.